UGCCACGGUAUUUGGAUCAAAACCUCCCUCAGCCUCGGUUUUGCCAAAGUAAGCCUGUUUUCCUAGUAAAAAAUCCACCUUGGCAAGAAAUUCUACAGGGGAACCAUAGUCAGUGAUGGAUUUCUUAUCAGUUGGGGUGACAAUGACAGAAACAUUGCUGUUGGGAUCAAAGUUGUCCUCAUAUCUAAGAACCUGACCUGGGAACUCUCUCUCCCUGCUUGGGUUCCAUUUUGAUGGAAUUGACAAUUUGAAUCCAUCUCCAUUGUAUGGCAAGAAGUCUGUGUUUGUUUUAGGCUUGCCAAAGACAUUGGCAGCUUCACCAUAGGCAGCAUCUGCAGGAGCAACCUUGGAGCCAAUGGCUG
This 362-nucleotide unclassified non-coding RNA is filed under the name Hevea brasiliensis (rubber tree). The record is from RNAcentral. Lineage: Eukaryota; Viridiplantae; Streptophyta; Magnoliopsida; Malpighiales; Euphorbiaceae.